CUACGGGGGGCACCAGUGGGGAAUCUUAGACAAUGGGGGAAACCCUGAUCUAGCCAUGCCGCGUGAGCGACGACGGCCCUAGGGUUGUAAAGCUCUUUCAGCAGGGAAGAUAAUGACGGUACCUGCAGAAGAAGUCCCGGCUAACUCCGUGCCAGCAGCCGCGGUAAUACGGAGGGGACUAGCGUUGUUCGGAAUUACUGGGCGUAAAGCGCGCGUAGGCGGAUUGUUAAGUCGGGGGUGAAAUCCCGGGGCUCAACCCCGGAACUGCCCUCGGUACUGGCAGUCUUGAGUUCGAGAGAGGUGAGUGGAAUUCCGAGUGUAGAGGUGAAAUUCGUAGAUAUUCGGAGGAACACCGGUGGCGAAGGCGGCUCACUGGCUCGAUACUGACGCUGAGGUGCGAAAGCGUGGGGAGCAAACAGGAUUAGAUACCCGCGUAGUC
RNAcentral lists this ribosomal RNA (439 nucleotides) under uncultured bacterium. Its description in RNAcentral is "partial 16S ribosomal RNA". It matches the Rfam family "Bacterial small subunit ribosomal RNA", at positions 339 to 795 of the family's 1533-position model. The record is from RNAcentral.